CAAUAGCGUAUAUUUAAGUUGCUGCAGUUAAAAAGCUCGUAGUUGGAUUUCGGGUGGGAAUGGCCGGUCCGCCGUUUCGGUGUGCACUUGCUACGCCCACCUUGCUGCCGGGGACGUGCUCUUGAGUUCACGCUCGGGACACGGAGUCGGCGAGGUUACUUUGAGUAAAUUAGAGUGUUCAAAGCAGGCCUACGCUCUGAAUACAUUAGCAUGGAAUAACACGAUAGGACUCUGGCCUAUCUUGUUGGUCUGUAGGACCGGAGUAAUGAUUAAGAGGGACAGUCGGGGGCAUUCGUAUUUCAUUGUCAGAGGUGAAAUUCUUGGAUUUAUGAAAGACGAACUACUGCGAAAGCAUUUGCCAAGGGUGUUUUCAUUAA
RNAcentral lists this ribosomal RNA (377 nucleotides) under uncultured eukaryote. Its description in RNAcentral is "partial 18S ribosomal RNA". It matches the Rfam family "Eukaryotic small subunit ribosomal RNA", at positions 592 to 976 of the family's 1831-position model. The record is from RNAcentral.